AGCUAUUUAGCUAUACUCCAAGUAAAUGUUUUGAAAGCAUUUGAAAAAUAUUUUAAUAGCUACAAA
Molecule: transfer RNA, 66 nt
Filed under: Proasellus margalefi
Lineage: Eukaryota; Metazoa; Arthropoda; Malacostraca; Isopoda; Asellidae
Description: transfert RNA-S2(TCA)
Source: RNAcentral